AAGACUAUAGACCUGCGGAGUACCUGCGGAGGGAUCAUUACUGGGUUGGACGUACGUCCGCUACCCGCCCUCUGUCAUCUUGUACUGAAUGUUUCGGCCUUCGGGUCGGCAGCACUCUGUAGAAACCUGAAGUCUGAAUCUUUGAUAAUAGAAAAAAACUUUUAACAACGGAUCUCU
Molecule: unclassified non-coding RNA, 177 nt
Filed under: soil metagenome
Description: partial contains 5.8S ribosomal RNA, internal transcribed spacer 2, and large subunit ribosomal RNA
Source: RNAcentral